This 298-nucleotide unclassified non-coding RNA is filed under the name plant metagenome. RNAcentral describes it as "partial contains 5.8S ribosomal RNA, internal transcribed spacer 2, and large subunit ribosomal RNA". The stretch from base 1 to 105 matches the Rfam family "5.8S ribosomal RNA", at positions 50 to 154 of the family's 154-position model. The record is from RNAcentral.
GAAAUGCGAUAAGUAGUGUGAAUUGCAGAAUUCAGUGAAUCAUCGAAUCUUUGAACGCACAUUGCGCCCUUUGGUAUUCCUUAGGGCAUGCCUGUUCGAGCGUCAUUUAAACCUUCAAGCUCAGCUUGGUGUUGGGUGACUGUCCGCUUCACCGCGGACUCGCCUCAAAAUUAUUGGCGGCCGGUCUUGCGCGUAGCAGAUUGUUCGCACAAGGGCCGGCCCGCAGGGCUGCCGCAUACGUCAAUUGCAUCUCGUAGUUUGACCUCGGAUCAGGUAGGAAUACCCGCUGAACUUAAGC